GACGAACCGUGCGAACGUUAUUCGGAAUCACUGGGCUUAAAGCGCGUGUAGGCGGGCCGCCACGUCGGGCGCUGAAAUCCCCCGGCUCAACCGGGGAACGGGCACCGAUACGAGCGGCCUGGAGGGGAGUAGGGGGACCUGGAACUUCCGGUGGAGCGGUGAAAUGCGUUGAGAUCGGAAGGAACGCCCGUGGCGAAAGCGAGGUCCUGGGCUCCUGCUGACGCUGAGACGCGAAAGCCAGGGGAGCGAACGG
Molecule: ribosomal RNA, 253 nt
Filed under: uncultured bacterium
Lineage: Bacteria
Description: partial 16S ribosomal RNA
Rfam family: Bacterial small subunit ribosomal RNA
Source: RNAcentral